Molecule: ribosomal RNA, 551 nt
Filed under: uncultured Glomeromycotina
Lineage: Eukaryota; Fungi; Glomeromycota
Description: SSU rRNA
Rfam family: Eukaryotic small subunit ribosomal RNA
Source: RNAcentral
UUGGAGGGCAAGUCUGGUGCCAGCAGCCGCGGUAAUUCCAGCUCCAAUAGCGUAUAUUAAAGUUGUUGCAGUUAAAAAGCUCGUAGUUGAAUUUCGGAAUCCAUCCGUCGGUCGGGCUUCACGGUCCGCACUGGUGUGAUGGAUUCCUACCUUCUGAAUAACCAGCAUGCUAUUAAUUUGGUGCGUUGGGGAAGCAGGACUGUUACCUUGAAAAAAUUAGAGUGCUUAAAGCAGGCUAGUGCCUGAAUACAUUAGCAUGGAAUAAUGAAAUAGGACGGCAUGGUUCUAUUUUGUUGGUUUCUAGGAUCACCGUAAUGAUUGAUAGGGAUAGUUGGGGGCAUUAGUAUUCAAUUGUCAGAGGUGAAAUUCUUGGAUUUAUUGAAGACUAACUUCUGCGAAAGCAUUUGCCAAGGAUGUUUUCAUUAAUCAAGAACGAAAGUUAGGGGAUCGAAGACGAUCAGAUACCGUCGUAGUCUUAACCAUAAACUAUGCCGACUAGGGAUCGGACGAUGUUGAUUUUUUAAUGACUCGUUCGGCGCCUUACGGGAAAC